RNAcentral lists this unclassified non-coding RNA (313 nucleotides) under plant metagenome. RNAcentral's name for it is "partial contains 5.8S ribosomal RNA, internal transcribed spacer 2, and large subunit ribosomal RNA". The stretch from base 1 to 104 matches the Rfam family "5.8S ribosomal RNA", at positions 51 to 154 of the family's 154-position model. The record is from RNAcentral.
AAACGCGAUAGUUAAUGUGAAUUGCAGAAUUCAGUGAAUCAUCGAGUCUUUGAACGCACAUUGCGCCCAUAGGUAUUCCUUUGGGCAUGUCUGUUUGAGCGUCAUUACAACCCUCAGCUAACCGCUGGUUUUGAACCUGAACGGGUGACACCGCGCCGGUUUUAAAGUUGUAAGCUCUGCUGGCCUCUCUGCCCAACCAGAACAUAGUAAGCACUACUUGUCCGGGUGAAGCUGAACGGUACGGCCUGAACAAAACCUACCCACUCUCAAGGUUUGACCUCAGAUCAGACAAGGAUACCCGCUGAACUUAAGC